This 253-nucleotide ribosomal RNA is filed under the name uncultured bacterium. RNAcentral's name for it is "partial 16S ribosomal RNA". It matches the Rfam family "Bacterial small subunit ribosomal RNA", at positions 524 to 776 of the family's 1533-position model. The record is from RNAcentral.
UACGAAGGGGGCUAGCGUUGCUCGGAAUUACUGGGCGUAAAGCGCACGUAGGCGGCUUUCUAAGUCGGGGGUGAAAGCCCGAGGCUCAACCUCGGAACUGCCUUCGAUACUGCGGGUCUCGAGUCCGGGAGAGGUGAGUGGAAUUCCUAGUGUAGAGGUGAAAUUCGUAGAUAUUAGGAAGAACACCAGUGGCGAAGGCGGCUCACUGGCCCGGUACUGACGCUGAGGCGCGAAAGCGUGGGGAGCAAACAGG